Molecule: long non-coding RNA, 1373 nt
Organism: Manihot esculenta (cassava)
Lineage: Eukaryota; Viridiplantae; Streptophyta; Magnoliopsida; Malpighiales; Euphorbiaceae
Exons: 3
Source: RefSeq, a predicted model, not a curated record
CCUAAAUUUCCUUUUUUCAUUUCACUUCAUACGCUUCCUUCUCUCUCUGUCGGCGCCUCUCUCCCCUGCUUCCCUUCCCAAUCGACUCUCUCCCCCACUUCACUGCCGGCAUCCCCGACACCGGUGACGUCUCCUUUUUCUCCCCAACGACCAUAAAUCUUCUCCCUCCCCAGUUAUCGAUAUCUCCCUUUUCCCCAUCCCUUGAGUACUACCUUCAAGGAAAUACAGAGUCUGCAAGCUGCUCGUGAGUUUUUUUUUCUUUUUAUUUUUUUUUUAUUUAUCACUUGUGCGCUUUGUGUAUUAUUGAAUUGGCACGAUAUUAGCAUUUUUAAUCUUGUUCUUGUAGUUUCCUUGUAUGAGAUUUUGCUCUAUCUCUGGGUUGGUGCAAAUGGUGUUUUUUUGUUUUACCUGAGUCUGGCAUCUGGAUAUUGCUGGAUGCGUGCCAUUAUUUGAGUCUGGCAUCUGUGCUUUGAGAAGCUAUUUUGUUAUGUUUCUGUUUGGUUUUUUGCUGGUUUUUUGCUGUUUGUCUAUUAUUGUUGUGCAAACCUCACACUCUGUUUUUUCCUACUGGUUUCUACCAGAACUUUUGUUAGUUGUUUCUGUUUACCUCUCUCCUUUGAUGAACUGAGAUAUUUCAUGUGUGAUUCAAUCUCUCCCCUGAUUAGUUAAGGAAGAUUGUACUCAAGAUUGACAUGUAAGUUUGCAGAAGUUUGUCAAAUGGAAAAAAAAUAAAAAUUAUGUGAAUUUAAAUAGGUCCAUGCCACUUGAUUUUGUGCAUGUUUAUGUUUGCCAAUUCCUCCAAGAUCGGACAACAAGCAGCAUCCCGUGAGCAAGUUCAUGCUUUAUUUUCUGACAUUAAUUGUCAGAGAAUAAGUAUUGAUGAUCUUGAGUGUCAAAGAAAACUAUUAAGUUGGUGAAUAUGGAGAUCCUUGUCUCUUCAAAAUGGCAAAUUAUUUUCUCAAAUAUAUAAACACCUGUGUCUUCAGUUGCAUCUGAGUCUGCUUUUAGUACUGGAGGUAGAGUUGUUAGUAUUCAUAGAAGUAGACUCCAUGAAGAUACUUUGGAAGCAUUGAUGUGCUCACAAAAUUGGUUAUGGUCAGAAAUUGAAGCUGGCUGUUCAAAUGAGAGUAUAUCUUGUUUAUGGGAUGCUGAGGAUGAUGUGAAUUAAAUCAUGCAUUUCACAAUUUUAAUAUGUUUUCAAGCACAAUUUGAUAUUGGAGAUUGAAAUAGCCAAUUGAAUAUAUUUUAUAUUCAAUCAAUGUAGUUUAAUGAACUUUUGGAACAUUUCAUUUGUUCAAAAUUUUAUGUUGGAUAGAUAAUUGAUUAAUGGUUGUGUUAUUAUGAAUUUGUAAUAUAUUUAUUUUGUUUUAGUA